CAAGAAGCAGAGACAUGGGCAAAUCACUUGUUUGUGAUGAUAAGCCUCAUGGUGAAUUAAAGAAUUAUAAUCAAAAUAUGUGAACGAAUUAGUUGAAAGAGACAUUACCCUCACUCAGUAUCUCUUCCUUUUUCUUAGAAAUGGUUGAGAAAAAGGCAAAGGGAGCCCACCUGGGGAUAAACAACUGAAGAUAACUGACAUAGCUUUUGGAAUGCAACAUAGCAAGACAGCAAUGUGUGGAAGGCAUUUCCUAGGGUAUGAAAAGGAUGCAGAUGAGAAUAGAAGACAUGGGCUCACAAUACAUUUUAAGAGGAAGUCAUCAGCAUUUUAAUCCUCUACAAGAACCAUAGACACCCACGCAGCUGUUGUCAGAAGAAAAGGUAAGAAAAACAAUUUUUUUUCCAACAGCAGAAAAGAAUUUGAAUUACUACUUCUUUUAGUCACUUAUUUUUCUCACUCAUGUGCAGUAUUUUCUUUAACUUGGGUACCGCGUUUUGGUUACUAAUAACUGCUGAUCUGUCCUGAAUGAAUGGAUUAGUUUAUAGGAAAGAUUUGCAUGAUAGAGAAUCAAUAGGGCAAGUUUAAAUCCCUUGCUGGUGUGGAGAGAGGAAACAAAUUAAUCUGGUGAUUGUUGAUAAAUUGUGAGCAGAGAAGUGAAAAAAUAUAUUUUUUGGGGGGAAAAAUGAUCGUCUGUAAUGUCAAAAGUGAAAAAUACCAGGAAAAUUCAAGUAAGGGAUCCUAAGCCUCUGCUUUAUCCCACACUCAUAAAAACUGAUUUGAGCUGAUGUUGGAUUCUAUCCAUUAAUAGAGAAAAAAUGACUUUCACAAUUAACUCCUUAUAUGAAUAAGGAGUUUUGCCCAAUAUGAAGUGGUAUACCUGGAUGUUAUAUGUGUGAGGCUACUUUAAGAGAGUCUUAACCCAUAAAUAAGGGAAAGAAGGGAGGAAAGGAC
Molecule: long non-coding RNA, 951 nt
Filed under: Sus scrofa (pig)
Lineage: Eukaryota; Metazoa; Chordata; Mammalia; Artiodactyla; Suidae
Description: lncRNA (ENSSSCG00035050528.1)
Source: RNAcentral